CAUAAAUGUGAAAGGCUGCCAAAUUCGAUAAUAUUGGAAUGCUUCGCCUAUAAAAGAAGUGAGAUCUAAAUAAGUACCAAGUUCCAUACACAGACCUCAGUUAAAAAUGAUAUAACAAGUUGGCAAGUUUUCACACACUUUGUUAUAAACCUACUAAACGCAAUGAGUCAAGUAUAUAAUUUUCUAUUAAAACUUGCCAAGUUAUAUCAUUUUUAACUGAGGUUUGUGUAUGGAACUUGGUACUUAUUUAGAUCUCACUUCUUUUAUAGGCGAAGCAUUCCAAUAUUAUCGAACUUGGCAGCCUUUCACAUUUAUGUUUUGGGUGGGAUUUCAUUUAUUUUUGUUAAGUUUUAUUUUUAUUUUUUCUUAUUUUACUUUACUUUGACUAAAUACAAAACUUCGUAACGAAUUUUAGGUCGGUACGACCAUUGGAAGAUAUAGAUAAUUUUUUUGUUUUAGUUCCUUAGGGGUAUGAAUUUACACCUUCAUUAUUUUUAAAACCGACUCACACUUGGCCAUUUUCAGAUUUUUUCCUUUACCUUGACCUAAAGACCUACCUCCAUGCCAAAUUUCAAGUCAAUACGACCAUUGGAAGUGGUCUAGGUUUUUGAUGAGUGAGUGAGUGAGUCAGUCAGUGAGUGUAUAGUAAAAAUAGCGAUUUUCUGACGUCAAUAU
Long non-coding RNA from Spodoptera frugiperda (fall armyworm), 675 nucleotides. RefSeq lists it as uncharacterized. The record is from RefSeq and is a predicted model, not a curated record. Lineage: Eukaryota; Metazoa; Arthropoda; Insecta; Lepidoptera; Noctuidae. The transcript has 3 exons.